CAGCCGCCGCGGUAAUACGGAGGGCGCGAGCGUUACCCGGAUUUACUGGGCGUAAAGGGCGUGUAGGCGGCCUGGGGCGUCCCAUGUGAAAGGCCACGGCUCAACCGUGGAGGAGCGUGGGAUACGCUCAGGCUAGAGGGUGGGAGAGGGUGGUGGAAUUCCCGGAGUAGCGGUGAAAUGCGCAGAUACCGGGAGGAACGCCGAUGGCGAAGGCAGCCACCUGGUCCACUUCUGACGCUGAGGCGCGAAAGCGUGGGGAGCAAACCGGAUUAGAUACCCCCGUAGUCCCUGUCUCUUAUAU
RNAcentral lists this ribosomal RNA (301 nucleotides) under uncultured bacterium. Its description in RNAcentral is "partial 16S ribosomal RNA". It matches the Rfam family "Bacterial small subunit ribosomal RNA", at positions 509 to 809 of the family's 1533-position model. The record is from RNAcentral.